This 253-nucleotide ribosomal RNA is filed under the name uncultured bacterium. RNAcentral's name for it is "partial 16S ribosomal RNA". It matches the Rfam family "Bacterial small subunit ribosomal RNA", at positions 524 to 776 of the family's 1533-position model. The record is from RNAcentral.
AACGUAGGAGACAAACGUUAUCCGGAUUCAUUGGGUUUAAAGGGAGCGUAGGUGGACUUGUAAGUCAGUGGUGAAAUCUUUGGGCUUAACCCAGAAACUGCCAUUGAUACUGCAGGUCUAGAGUACAGUUGCCGUUGGCGGAAUAUGACAUGUAGUGGUGAAAUACUUAGAUAUGUCAUAGAACACCGAUUGCGAAGGCAGCUAACGAAGCUGUAACUGACACUGAGGCUCGAAAGUGCGGGGAUCAAACAGG